GCCCCCUGAAUUGUAGUCUGGAGAGGCGCCAUCGGCCACGCCCGGCGCUCAAGUCCCUUGGAACGGGGUAUCGGAGAAGGUGAGAAUCCUGUGCCGCGCCGGCGCGUGGCCGCACGAUGCGUUCUCGUAGAGUCGGGCUGCUUGGGAGUGCAGCCUGAAGCGGGUGGUAAAUUCCAUCUAAAGCUAAAUACUGGCGAGAGACCGAUAGCGAACAAGUACCGUGAGGGAAAGAUGCAAAGAACUUUGAAAAGAGAGUUAAAGAGUGCUUGAAAUUGGCAGGAGGAAACCCGGUUGCGCGUGGCAUCGCGCGGCGUCGACUCAGCCGUCUUCGCGGCCUGUAGGGGACCUAACGGCUCCGUGGUUGAAGAAGGCGGUGCACUUCGGCGUCGCGGGUCAGCCGCGGCUCGGCGGGGGCAAUACGGCGUUUGGCAGGGCUUCGGCGUCGCCUUUCGUGAUGGCCCGCGCUGGGCUCCGGCUGAUGCGCACGGGCGCAACCGACCCGUCUAGAAACACGGACCAAGGAGUCUGACGCGUGUGCGAGUACCCGGGUGGCAAGCCCGCGUGCGCAAUGAAAGUGAAGGGCGUGCCCCGCCAACCGACCUUGAUCUUCUGUGAAGGGUUUGAGUGGAGCACACGAGUCGGGACCCGAAAGAUGGUGAACUAUGCCUGAGGAGGGUGAAGCCAGAGGAAACUCUGGUGGAGGCUCGUAGCGAUACUGACGUGCAAAUCGUUCGUCGAACUUGGGUAUAGGGGCGAAAGACUAAUCGAACCAUCUAGUAGCUGGUUCCCUCCGAAGUUUCCCUCAGGAUAGCUUGAACGCCGACGGUUUUGU
This 832-nucleotide ribosomal RNA is filed under the name Haptophyta environmental samples. RNAcentral's name for it is "eukaryotic LSU rRNA". It matches the Rfam family "Eukaryotic large subunit ribosomal RNA", at positions 133 to 1004 of the family's 3401-position model. The record is from RNAcentral. Lineage: Eukaryota; Haptophyta.